Molecule: ribosomal RNA, 461 nt
Filed under: uncultured bacterium
Lineage: Bacteria
Description: partial 16S ribosomal RNA
Rfam family: Bacterial small subunit ribosomal RNA
Source: RNAcentral
CCUACGGGGGGCUGCAGUGAGGAAUAUUGGUCAAUGGGCGCGAGCCUGAACCAGCCAAGUCGCGUGAGGGAGGACGGCCCUACGGGUUGUAAACCUCUUUUGCCGGGGAGCAACGGGCGCCACGUGUGGCCUCACUGAGAGUACCCGGAGAAGAAGCCCCGGCUAACUACGUGCCAGCAGCCGCGGUAAUACGUAGGGGGCAAGCGUUAUCCGGAUUUACUGGGUGUAAAGGGGGCGCAGGCGGCCGUGCAAGCCAGGGGUGAAAGCCCGGGGCCCAACCCCGGGACUGCACUUGGAACGGGGUGGCUGGAGGGCAGGAGGGGCAGGCGGAAUUCCUGGUGUAGCGGUGAAAUGCGUAGAUAUCAGGAGGAACACCGGGGGCGAAGGCGGCCUGCUGGACUGCAACUGACGUUGAGGCCCGAAAGCGUGGGGAGCAAACAGGAUUAGAUACCCCUGUAGUC